GUGGGGAAUAUUGGACAAUGGGCGAAAGCCUGAUCCAGCCAUGCCGCGUGUGUGAAGAAGGUCUUCGGAUUGUAAAGCACUUUAAGUUGGGAGGAAGGGCAGUAAGUUAAUACCUUGCUGUUUUGACGUUACCGACAGAAUAAGCACCGGCUAACUUCGUGCCAGCAGCCGCGGUAAUACGAAGGGUGCAAGCGUUAAUCGGAAUUACUGGGCGUAAAGCGCGCGUAGGUGGUUUUGUAAGUUGGAGGUGAAAUCCCCGGACUCAACCUGGGAACUGCCUCCAAAACUGCAUGACUAGAGUACGGUAGAGGGUAGUGGAAUUUCCUGUGUAGCGGUGAAAUGCGUAGAUAUAGGAAGGAACACCAGUGGCGAAGGCGACUACCUGGACUGAUACUGACACUGAGGUGCGAAAGCGUGGGGAGCAAACAGGAUUAGAAACCCCGGUAGUCC
RNAcentral lists this ribosomal RNA (450 nucleotides) under uncultured bacterium. RNAcentral describes it as "partial 16S ribosomal RNA". It matches the Rfam family "Bacterial small subunit ribosomal RNA", at positions 354 to 796 of the family's 1533-position model. The record is from RNAcentral.